RNAcentral lists this long non-coding RNA (249 nucleotides) under Mytilus galloprovincialis (Mediterranean mussel). Lineage: Eukaryota; Metazoa; Mollusca; Bivalvia; Mytilida; Mytilidae. The record is from RNAcentral.
GAUUGAACCCCCUACUAUAGAUCUUGAAUUUCAAAAAUUCAAGCUAUUCUAACUCCUUAACAUAGUUAUAAUACUUCAAUAAGUAGUUUGUAUGUAUUUGAUAUACUGGAAAAGAUAUUUUGAAAAUUUUACUUAGCCAUGGUAUUUUGACCCCCCUGCGGUAUAUUGAACCCCCUACUAUAGACCUUGAAUUUCAAAAAUUCAAGCUAUUCUAACUCCUUAACAUAGUUAUAAUACUCCAAAAAGUAG